GCAAGCCAUCAUUAGGCUGAAAAACAAAACAAACCCAUCAGAGAGAUAGCAAAAACAUUAGGCAUGGCCAAAACAACUGUUUGGAACAUUCUUAAAAAGAAGGAACGCACCGGUGAGCUCAGCAACACCAAAAGACCCGGAAGACCACGGAAAACAACUGUGGUGGAUGACCGAAGAAUUCUUUCCCUGGUGAAGAAAACACCCUUCACAACAGUUGGCCAGAUCAAGAACACUCUCCAGGAGGUAGGUAUAUGUGUGUCAAAGUCAACAAUCAAGAGAAGACUUCACCAGAGUGAAUACAGAGGGUUCACCACAAGAUGUAAACCAUUGGUGAGCCUCAAAAACAGGAAGGCCAGAUUAGAGUUUGCCAAACGACAACCAAAAAAGCCUUCACAGUUCUGGAACAUCAUCCUAUGGACAGAUGAGACCAAGAUCAACUUGUACCAGAGUGAUGGGAAGAGAAGAGUAUGGAGAAGGAAAGGAACUGCUCAUGAUUCUAAGCAUACCACCUCAUCAGUGAAGCAUGGUGGUAGUAGUGUCAUGGCGUGGGCAUGUAUGUAGAGUUCUGUCCUCAGUUCUCAGCUCAAACCCCUCCAGUCUGAGAGAAUUGAACCUGAGUAGAAAUAAACUGCAGGAUUCAGGAGUGAAGUUGCUCUCUGCUGGACUGGAGAAUCCACACUGUACACUGGAGAUACUGAGGUAACACACACACACACACACACACACUGAACUAGAGAUAGUAGUCUAGGAGCAUCAAUUUAUCACUAAAUAUUGCAUACAAUAAUUGUAUGUGUGAGAGAGGGAGAUAUACAAGUGGGCGUGGUCUGUACCAGAGGAUCUUGUGUCUCUGCUAGAGGUGUAACACAAUGCUACUAUCUGUCUCUGUUUAGUGCACAAACUGUUUUUGUAUUCGGAUUUAAACCGGAAGUGGGCGUGGUCUGUUCCAGAGGGUUUUUCAUGAGAUCACUAUGCCCUGAAAAACAGUGAAAAAAAAAAAAUCACAAAGUAUGCAUAAAAAUCAAUUCACCCUCAAAAACAGAGCAUGGAGCCUCAUUACAACACCAAAUACAUUCAAAAGUGACAAAAUCAUCAGUAGACUUAUAAUAAAGAAAAUCAACCAAAACUCUUGACUUCACCAAGUUAGAAAACAAGGCUACUAUGUUCUGAUUUAAGUUUUGUUCUAUUUUCCUUUUCCUACUUGUAUAAAUGACCAGUUUUGCUUGGCCUAAGACAAAAUUCAGAAGUUGACAGACAAAUCUUUUCUUCCUCACAUAUUUGUACCCUAAAAUAAAAGUCUCGAGAGAAAAGGUCUCAUUACUACUCCUGAAAACAUUACCUUCAACUAGAAAUAAAGGUUGCAAUCUACAACAAUUCAUAAAAGCAUGAAAGAUGGUUUCUCUGUCAGAACAGAAAGGACAUGUAGAAGUAACCUCAGGGUUUAGAACUGAGAUAAAAGCAUUGACCGCGACAGCACCAUGAAUAAUUCUCCAUUGCAAAUCACCUGUUCUCUUGGUCAACGGUGGUUUAUACAAGGAUCUCCACUCAGAUUUUGUGUUUUGAUCCAAUUUAAAAACAUCAUGCCAGGGAGUAUCAACUUUCCCAUUUAAAACCUUUUUGCUAAAAACCAAAACACAAAGACCUGUACAAAGAUUUACCAGUACUUAAAAAGAAGUCUUUACACAGAGAUGCAACAUUUUCAAUGAAAGGUGUAAUCCCUUCAACAUUUACAGACAGUAGUAGACAAGGAAAAGAGUCUUUGGGAUCAGGAACUCGCGAACCAGCACAAUACUCUGUUAGCAAGUCCAUUUCAGUUGUCUUAAACACCGCUUUCCAUUUCAUGAGCAACUGGGUAACCAGACGAAUAGACCUGAUUCCCAAAUGUUGAGCUAAUGCUGCUUCGUUCUUGAAAUCCGGCCCUACAAUGUUCAGUAGCUGACUCAGAGUAAUAAUGUUGUGUUCAAUCAGCAACCUACUAAGACCAGGAAAAAAGGAACUGUCUGUUAGAUCCAACCAGGAGCCACAGAUUAAAGGCUCCUCCAGUAACCAAUGAAGAGAAUGUGAGUUUUCUGGUCGUUGAACAGCAAAGAGACUCCAAACUUUAAAAAUGUUCUUGUAAAAAAUUGGCAACGUGGAGGUGUCCAGUUUUAGGGGAUCCAUCAAAAAAAGUGCUUUGUCCAGCCCCAAACCUGCAAAACUACGUAAAAUCAGGCAUGAAACAGCACGCCAGCUAAAACUUGAUGGUCCAUCCAACAGUCUUUGCACAAACUGCAGACGAAAGGUUGCAAUUCUGCUCUGGAGAUGAAUUAGUCCUUGACCACCUUCCUCCUUGGGCAAAAACAGAAAUUUUGUGAGACCCAAUGUAAUUUAUCCCAAAAAAAGUCCACCAGGGUAGCCUGGAUUUUUUAUAGCAGCUGCAAAGGAGGAUCUACACAGGCAAACUUAUGCCAUAAGGAAGAUGCCACCAAAUUAUUAACAACUAAAAUGUGUCCUCUGUAUGGCAAUUUUGGAGACAAAGACUUCCAUUUUUCUAGGCGUCCUUUGACUUUUUCUAUUAAACCUUCCCAGUUUUUCUGCACUGUUGUGUCAUUGCCUAAAAAGACCCUCAAGUAUUUAAAACCUUCUUUUCCCCAAUGUAAACCAGCAGGAAGUUUCAGUUUUCCACUUUUCCAGCUUCCUAUCAGUAGUGCUUCACUUUUAUUCCAAUUUAUAUUAGCAGAGGAUAAAACUUUAAAUUUUCCAAGCAAUUCAGAUAAAACCUGUGGGCGUGGUCUGUACCAGAGGGUUUUUCAUGAGAACCCUAUCACUAUGCCCUGAAAAACAGUGGAAAAAAAAAUCAGGGCUGCUGCAAAAGAAAACAUUUUUCAUUGACAAAUUAUAACACAUUUAUUUAUUUACUUACUUACUUACUUAUUUAAUUUAAGUAUAUAACUUGAUUCAACUUAUUCCUGAACCAGACAUCCUGUGGAACUUUUUGGAAAGUUUUCUAUCUUCUAUCUAAUGUGAAUGAGUAAAAAAAGCUAACUAUGUUUCAAAACAACAACGUCUUUCCCAAAUCAAGAAACUGUUAUUUACUGUUGACAACAACAGCCACCUAAUAAUAUUUGAUCAGAUUUACUUUAGCUUUUGUGUUUGUUACAUUCCAGAAAGAUCAGAAAAGUUCACUGGACUCGCUAUCAGAAUCUGAUUUUGUUGUUUCCUAAAUUAUGGUAGAUGAAGGAAUAUGAUCUCUUGGACUCUUACUUGUAGCUUACUGUAUUUCAGUGUCAUUGAGGGAAACUUACUGGUAGAAGUAAAUGCCUCGUUUUGCUAUCUAUACUUGUGCCAGUAUAUAAAAUACAACAAAUUCACUGAAUAUUCACCAACCAAAAUGUUUACUUGCUAAAUGAAGACAAAAUAAAUUAAAAUAACUCAACUGUAUAAAAUAGUUACUUUCUCAUACAGUAAUCCCGAAUCAUAUUAAGUUAAUAACAAACCAAGCAACCAAUAUGUCGUACUGGCUAACAGUUAAUUAUUUACUCAAGCGCGCUAUCCUUAGCCCACGCUCUCACUCAGACUGGCAAAUUGAAAACACAUAAACAAAACAAAAGCUGCAGGGCUGUGAGGUGGCUGGGGUGCGGUGUGGCCCAGACUGAAAUGGCCUCUUCACUCUAAGAAGAGCAAUGACUCUACUGACUGCAAAGGUACCUGGUCUUUACGGCUUUCUGGGCUUUUACGUGCUCGACGUUUCUGAAGUUAGCACCUGCAUCGCUCCGUGUUACUCGUCCACAGGCGUUUAUCCAGCGGUGCCAGAGGAACCCUGAGCGUUACCCGGUAGCUCACAGUGCUAUCUGGUUCUCCUCAGCGACUCCCAGGGGAAAACAGGUGAACAGCAGACAAUAGUGUGUAGCUGUGUGAGCUGAACAACAGGCUAGCAGUUCGACUAGCUAACUAGGCUAGUCAGCUAGGUAAUACACUGUGUGCAAACUUCAUGUAGAAACAGCAGCUCCCUCCUUCUAAUCAUUUCGUAACUAGUAAGUUCUCACGCUUAGAUUAUUGUUUUAACUUGGUCACCGUUCAUUAGUUAUUCAGAAAUCCUAGUUUUUUUCACGGAGAGAAAACUUUUCUCCUUUUCCCCUUUUUUCUUUUCCUGUUCUCCUCGCUGAUUAACCCCUAUCCAAAUAACCAAUCAGAAUCACGCACGUUGCUAGUCAACCCCCCUUUUAUCCACUCUCUUUUUAAACAAUGCAAUGAAGUUAUCUUAAAACGAAUGAAAGUUUUUAUCCCGACCGACUUUCAUGAACUAAACCUUACUUACAAACUGCGUUAUGUGUACGAGCGUGUUUCCAAGUGCGUAUAAGGUUGUGCUGCUCUGGCUUCAGCUCUGAGGUCAAACUCCUCAUCACACCUGAGAGAACUGAAUCUGAACGGUAAUAAUCCAGGAGAAUCAGGAGUGAAGCUGCUCUCUGAUCUACUGAAGGAUCCACACUGUAAACUGGAAACACUACACAUUAAGGAUGAUAAACUCACCAGUACUGGCGUAUGGCAGGAGUCUCACCUCAAACCUCUUUUCCAGGAUAAAGCAGUUUUGGUGAAGCGUUAGAACCCGUCCCACAUUUCCAGCAGUUUGGGAGCUGAAAUCAUUCAUAUUCAGAUGUAGAAGUUCCAUAACAAUAACCGGGACUGAUCACAUCCUUUUAUCCACUCAGCUACAAAUUACUUCAGGCUUUAAUAACAUAUUUUACAAUCAAAGUCAAAUCCUUCAGCCUCUACACACAACACAGAGAUAUCAUCACAUCAUCACACUGAUUACACAAAUACACAUCAAUGUGUUGUAGCUGUUUAUAGCUUAUUUUUAGCUCCACAUUUUUUAUCUAUUUUUUUUAGUGUGUUUCUGCUCAACAUGGCUUUAUUCAGUUUGUUGUAACAUGACAGUGAUUUUUUUUUCUCCACAGAUGAUUGAUUUAUAGUUGUGAUUUAAUCCAUUUUUCCCAAUUUUUUUUGUUAAACUUCUAUUCCUUGUUUGUGGUGUGUGUAUGUAUGAGUAAGGGGUGUUCCUAAUAAAGUGGUGUGUAUGAGUAAGGGGUGUUCCUAAUAAAGUGGUGUGUGUGUGUAUAA
Long non-coding RNA from Pangasianodon hypophthalmus (striped catfish), 5094 nucleotides. RefSeq lists it as uncharacterized. The record is from RefSeq and is a predicted model, not a curated record. The transcript has 2 exons. NCBI's taxonomy places the organism in Eukaryota, Metazoa, Chordata, Actinopteri, Siluriformes, Pangasiidae.